Molecule: long non-coding RNA, 1275 nt
Filed under: Stegodyphus dumicola
Lineage: Eukaryota; Metazoa; Arthropoda; Arachnida; Araneae; Eresidae
Description: uncharacterized LOC118205518, transcript variant X1
Source: RNAcentral
GAUUCAUUGACAGGGGAUACUGAUCUUUCUCCCAUCAUCAGAGACCUCAUACCUGAGUUGAGAUUUGCGCUGAUUAGUCAUCUACGUCUUAGCCUGCCAUUCAGAAAAGUACUCAAGCACCUUUUCCUUCUUUUUGAUUUGACUGUUUCCGGAUAAGUUCAUGCCAUGCCCUUCAACCAACGGCUAAUACUUUUCUUCGUGACGACGGUUCUGGUGGUGGUUACGAUUUGCACAGCUCCAGAAACGGUGAUGGCUGCUCCUUCUAAUCCUUCUUUCAGGAGUGGUAUUUGCCAGUUCCUUUGUACUAAAGAUCCACCCGAGGGAGGAAACUUUUGCAACUGUGACAGGCACCCAUUAGGCAAGCGUUCAGUGCCUGAAGCGUUAGAGGACAUGCAAUGAUGAUAAAUAUUUACAUGUUUUGAAGUCAUUUUCAUGAAGAUGAAGGUGACAAAAUUAAGAAGUAGUUGCCAUGCAGAAAAUGUUCGUAAAACAACUAUGUAGUUCGAAAUAUAAUACUGGAAAUAUUUUUGUGUAUUUGCAUGGCUUUGUACAUAUAACGAACUUGCUAUAUUUUAGUUCUAUAUUUACUUUAUGUAUAGUUUUUAUCUAUGGACGAUAAUUUUUUCAUUGAAAAUUGCGUCAUCAUUUCAUUUACUAAACACAAUAAAUUUUAGUAUAUGCUAUGUAACGCAAUUCCAUUUUAAAGCUGCAUUGUAUUUCACUUAUUAUUCAGGAAACUAAUCAGUUCUUCAAUUCACUAUGAAUGUUAUAAGAAUAACGGAGAAAAGUGUUUUAAAGGACGAAAUAUAAAACAUACAUCGUGCAUAUUUUACCUAAUAUAAUCUUUUCAGCUGUAAAGGAAACAUUUAUAAAUCAAAUAUUUAUAAAUCACAAAAAUUUCUUUAAAUAACUGUAUGCAAUCAUACAAAACUCAUUGAAGCGCAUAUGAUCUCAAUGCAUUCUUUGUAACAAUAAUACAAUAAAGUAAUGAAUGCUGCAAUUAGAAAUGGGUAAAGACUGUAUAAAUACGAUUUUCUUUGAAUUUUAUUUAAUUCAAUAAAACAGGUAAUUCUAUUAAACUAUUCUUCUGUUGCACUAAAUAUACUGCCUAUUAUAUGUAUGCUUUCAUUUUGCGCGAAAUAAUGUAUUAUUCAGGCCAAUAACGGAGCUGCGCUUAAUAACUGUUAUUUUCAAAUAAUAUUCUUCUUAUAAUCUUUUAUAUUUUUGGACGCCUGAAAUGUGUUUCCAAUAAAACAUAUUUAUUUGUACUGUUCA